RNAcentral lists this ribosomal RNA (251 nucleotides) under uncultured bacterium. RNAcentral's name for it is "partial 16S ribosomal RNA". It matches the Rfam family "Bacterial small subunit ribosomal RNA", at positions 795 to 1052 of the family's 1533-position model. The record is from RNAcentral.
CCACGCCGUAAACGAUGAAUGCUAGGUGUUUGGGUAAAACCAAGUGCCGCCGUUAACGCAUUAAGCAUUCCACCUGAGUAGUACGUGCGCAAGCAUAAAACUCAAAGGAAUUGGCGGGACCUCGCACAAGCGGUGGAUCAUGUUGUUUAAUUCGUGGAUACGCGAAGAACCUUACCAGGCUUUGACAUCUAGGGCAAGUGGUAGUGAAAGCUAUCAGGAGGUUAUCCCUAAGACAGGUGGUGCAUGGUUGU